Molecule: ribosomal RNA, 1342 nt
Filed under: uncultured bacterium
Lineage: Bacteria
Description: 16S ribosomal RNA
Rfam family: Bacterial small subunit ribosomal RNA
Source: RNAcentral
GACGAACGCUGGCGGCGUGCUUAACACAUGCAAGUCGAACGGAAAGGCCCUGCUUUUGUGGGGUGCUCGAGUGGCGAACGGGUGAGUAACACGUGAGUAACCUGCCCUUGACUUUGGGAUAACUUCAGGAAACUGGGGCCAAUACCGGAUAGGAGCUCCUGCUGCAUGGUGGGGGUUGGAAAGUUUCGGCGGUUGGGGAUGGACUCGCGGCUUAUCAGCUUGUUGGUGGGGUAGUGGCUUACCAAGGCUUUGACGGGUAGCCGGCCUGAGAGGGUGACCGGCCACAUUGGGACUGAGAUACGGCCCAGACUCCUACGGGAGGCAGCAGUGGGAAUAUUGCACAAUGGGCGGAAGCCUGAUGCAGCAACGCCGCGUGCGGGAUGACGGCCUUCGGGUUGUAAACCGCUUUCGCCUGUGACGAAGCGUGAGUGACGGUAAUGGGUAAAGAAGCACCGGCUAACUACGUGCCAGCAGCCGCGGUGAUACGUAGGGUGCGAGCGUUGUCCGGAUUUAUUGGGCGUAAAGGGCUCGUAGGUGGUUGAUCGCGUCGGAAGUGUAAUCUUGGGGCUUAACCCUGAGCGUGCUUUCGAUACGGGUUGACUUGAGGAAGGUAGGGGAGAAUGGAAUUCCUGGUGGAGCGGUGGAAUGCGCAGAUAUCAGGAGGAACACCAGUGGCGAAGGCGGUUCUCUGGGCCUUUCCUGACGCUGAGGAGCGAAAGCGUGGGGAGCGAACAGGCUUAGAUACCCUGGUAGUCCACGCUGUAAACGGUGGGUACUAGGUGUGGGGUCCAUUCCACGGGUUCCGUGCCGUAGCUAACGCUUUAAGUACCCCGCCUGGGGAGUACGGCCGCAAGGCUAAAACUCAAAGGAAUUGACGGGGCCCCGCACAAGCGGCGGAGCAUGCGGAUUAAUUCGAUGCAACGCGUAGAACCUUACCUGGGUUUGACAUGGAUCGGGAGUGCUCAGAGAUGGGUGUGCCUCUUUUGGGGUCGGUUCACAGGUGGUGCAUGCCUGUCGUCAGCUCGUGUCGUGAGAUGUUGGGUUAAGUCCCGCAACGAGCGCAACCCUUGUUCACUGUUGCCAGCACGUUAUGGUGGGGACUCAGUGGAGACCGCCGGGGUCAACUCGGAGGAAGGUGGGGAUGACGUCAAGUCCUCAUGCCCCUUAUGUCCAGGGCUUCACGCAUGCUACAAUGGCUGGUACAGAGAGUGGCGAGCCUGUGAGGGUGAGCGAAUCUCGGAAAGCCGGUCUCAGUUCGGAUUGGGGUCUGCAACUCGACCUCAUGAAGUCGGAGUCGCUAGUAAUCGCAGAUCAGCAACGCUGCGGUGAAUACGUUCCCGGG